This 845-nucleotide ribosomal RNA is filed under the name Thermodesulfomicrobium thermophilum. Its description in RNAcentral is "bacterial SSU rRNA". It matches the Rfam family "Bacterial small subunit ribosomal RNA", at positions 25 to 854 of the family's 1533-position model. Lineage: Bacteria; Pseudomonadati; Thermodesulfobacteriota; Desulfovibrionia; Desulfovibrionales; Desulfomicrobiaceae. The record is from RNAcentral.
CCGAGUACGCUGGCGGCGUGCCUAAACAUGCAAGUCGGACGCGAAAGGUCCUUCGGGAGUGAGUAGAGUGGCGCACGAGGUGAGUAACGCGUAGGUAAUCUACCUCUGGAUUGGGGAUAACUCUGCGAAAGUGGAGCUAAUACCGAAUGGUCUGGCUUUAUUUCGAUGAAGUCGGUAAAGGAUGCCUCUGCAUAUGCAUCUGUCCAGAGAUGAGCCUGCGUCCCAUUAGCUAGUUGGUAGGGUAAAGGCCUACCAAGGCGACGAUGGGUAGCUGGUCUGAGAGGAUGAUCAGCCACACUGGAACUGGAACACGGUCCAGACUCCUACGGGAGGCAGCAGUGGGGAAUAUUGGGCAAUGGGCGCAAGCCUGACCCAGCAACGCCGUGUGAGGGAUGAAGGCCUUCGGGUCGUAAACCUCUGUCAGAAGGGAAGAACGGGCACAGUUCGAAUAGGGCUGUGUUUUGACGGUACCUUCAGAGGAAGCACCGGCUAACUCCGUGCCAGCAGCCGCGGUAAUACGGAGGGUGCGAGCGUUAUUCGGAAUCACUGGGCGUAAAGGGCGCGUAGGCGGCCUGGUAAGUCAGGGGUGAAAUCCCACGGCUCAACCGUGGAAUUGCCUUUGAAACUGCUGGGCUUGGAUCCUGGAGAGGGUGGCGGAAUUCCUGGUGUAGGAGUGAAAUCCGUAGAUAUCAGGAGGAACACCGGUGGCGAAGGCGGCCGCCUGGACAGGUAUCGACGCUGAGGCGCGAAAGUGUGGGGAGCAAACAGGAUUAGAUACCCUGGUAGUCCACACCGUAAACGAUGGAUACUAGGUGUUGGGGGCAUGACCCUCAGUGCCGGAGCUA